RNAcentral lists this ribosomal RNA (428 nucleotides) under uncultured Alphaproteobacteria bacterium. RNAcentral's name for it is "bacterial SSU rRNA". It matches the Rfam family "Bacterial small subunit ribosomal RNA", at positions 9 to 443 of the family's 1533-position model. Lineage: Bacteria; Pseudomonadati; Pseudomonadota; Alphaproteobacteria. The record is from RNAcentral.
GAGUUUGAUCGUGGCUCAGGACGAACGCUGGCGGUGUGCUUCACACAUGCAAGUCGAACGGGGUAGCAAUACCCAGUGGCGGACGGGUGAGUAACACGUGGGAAUCUACCAUAAGGUGGGGAAUAACAGGCCGAAAGGUCUGCUAAUGCCGCAUAUGUAGGCAUCUCGACAGAGGUGUUUAUGAAAGGAGUAAUCCGCCUUUUGAUGAGCCCGCGUCCGAUUAGCUAGUUGGUAGGGUAAAAGCCUACCAAGGCGACGAUCGGUAGGUGGUCUGAGAGGAUGAUCACCCACAAUGGGACUGAGACACCGGCCCAUACUCCUACGGGAGGCAGCAGGUGGGGGAAUUUUUGGACAAUGGGCGCAAGCCUGAUCCAGCCCAUGCCGCGUGAGUGAAGAAGGCCUUCGGGUUGUUAAGCUUCUUUUUGUUC